This 1019-nucleotide long non-coding RNA is filed under the name Androctonus crassicauda. Lineage: Eukaryota; Metazoa; Arthropoda; Arachnida; Scorpiones; Buthidae. The record is from RNAcentral.
AUGUGGUAUUUGACGGAGCCGAAUUUAAUGGUUUUAUAUACAUAUAUAUAUAUACAUAUACUUAAUAUUGGAUUUUUGAGUUAAGUUAGAGUGUACUUGACAAGAUGAAAAUGUAACGCUGUAGACUUAAAUAUUUUCUGUUCGAAUCUCUACAUUUUCUUUAACGAUUCUUCGGAGAUGCAUCUCGAGUGAAGAGAAAAAUGUGGACUCUUUCUCUCUGCACAUGCACCAGGAAGUCGCAUCAAGUGCACCAAAAACUGUGGUCAAACAAUAAAGAAUAGAAAAAUGACAAUAUGUAUGCUCAGUGCUUAACAUGAUUGACGGUUAUGUUAAGGAGAUCUCUACUUCAGCAUUCUGAAAAGUGUAAAAACGGCAAAAUGUGUAUGUGUUUCCUUGAUUAAUUCCAACAAACUGCGGUUACAAUCUUAAAAAAAAAUGAUUGUUAUUUUACUAAAUUUCAUUGUUAAUCAUUAAAAAAAAUAAUAAUUCAAUUAAAUUGAUUAAAAAAUAUAUAUAAGUUAUAAUAAAAGUAUUAACAACAACAACGUACUGGCAAGAUUUUACUCUGAAUGCUGUCAUACAGUGUUUGGUAUAAAUUUAGUUUUUAUGUUACUGUUUACAGUUUUAACCAGUCUGUUUACGUGACUGAUAUAUAUAUUAUAAUUGAAAACUUUAGCAAGAACAUGAACAUUUCGCCUAUCACGGCAUUUGUGUUCGUCUUAAAGACAACGUUAACUGUAUCAGCUCGAACGAGUGGCAGCAGCCAGAAUAAAAUCUAGCCUUGAAAUAUUGUAUAAUUUUUUUUUCUCUUGAUAAAAAUUGAAAUUUAUAACGAAAUUUUAACUUAUAAAAUUCAAUCGAUCGUCAUAUAAUUGUAUUAAAAAUUGCUUAUGGCUUUAACCGCAAAAAGAAAUAGAAAAAAAAAAUAAAACAAAUUUUAAAUAUAUAGGCCUAUAUAUAUUUAAAAAAUUAAAAAAAAUGAUAUAUAGUAGUAUAUUUAUGGAAAUAUAAAAAUGUAA